AACGAACGCUGGCGGCGUGGAUAAGACAUGCAAGUCGAGCGGGAACUUUCGCUGUAGCAAUACAGUGAAAGUUCUAGCGGCGAACGGGUGCGUAACACGUGGACAAUCUGCCUUAAAGUGGGGGAUAGCUCGGCGAAAGCCGAAUUAAUACCGCAUGUGAUGAGAGACGACAUCGUCUUGAAAUCAAAGCCGGGGCAACCUGGCGCUUUUUGAGGAGUCCGCGGCCAUCAGCUUGUUGGUGAGGUAACGGCUCACCAAGGCUAUGACGGGUAGCUGGUCUGAGAGGACGACCAGUUACACUGGAACUGAGACACGGUCCAGACACCUACGGGUGGCAGCAGUCGAGUAAUUUUUGAACAAUAGGGGAAACCCUGAUCGAGCGACGCCGCGUGGA
Molecule: ribosomal RNA, 394 nt
Filed under: uncultured bacterium
Lineage: Bacteria
Description: bacterial SSU rRNA
Rfam family: Bacterial small subunit ribosomal RNA
Source: RNAcentral